GACGAACGCUGGCGGCGUGCUUAACACAUGCAAGUCGAACGGAAAGGCCCUGCUUUUGUGGGGUGCUCGAGUGGCGAACGGGUGAGUAACACGUGAGUAACCUGCCCUUGACUUUGGGAUAACUUCAGGAAACUGGGGCUAAUACCGGAUAGGAGCUCCUGCUGCAUGGUGGGGGUUGGAAAGUUUCGGCGGUUGGGGAUGGACUCGCGGCUUAUCAGCUUGUUGGUGGGGUAGUGGCUUACCAAGGCUUUGACGGGUAGCCGGCCUGAGAGGGUGACCGGCCACAUUGGGACUGAGAUACGGCCCAGACUCCUACGGGAGGCAGCAGUGGGGAAUAUUGCACAAUGGGCGGAAGCCUGAUGCAGCAACGCCACGUGCGGGAUGACGGCCUUCGGGUUGUAAACCGCUUUCGCCUGUGAUGAAGCGUGAGUGACGGUAAUGGGUAAAGAAGCACCGGCUAACUACGUG
Molecule: ribosomal RNA, 468 nt
Filed under: uncultured bacterium
Lineage: Bacteria
Description: partial 16S ribosomal RNA
Rfam family: Bacterial small subunit ribosomal RNA
Source: RNAcentral